GGUCCGGUGGUGUAGUUGGUAAUCACGUUAGUCUAACAUUACUAAAAAUAACUGUUUCAAGCUCAAAUGAGCUUGUUGAGAGUUGUUGAUGUGAGCACUAAAGGUCCCCGGUUCAAAGCCCGGGCCAGAUCA
Diaporthe citri is the source of this 132-nucleotide non-coding RNA. Lineage: Eukaryota; Fungi; Ascomycota; Sordariomycetes; Diaporthales; Diaporthaceae. The record is from the annotation of a RefSeq genome assembly.